UACGAAGGAUUCGAGCGUUAUCCGGAUUUAUUGGGUUUAAAGGGUGCGUAGGUGGACUAAUAAGUCAGUGGUGAAAGCCCGCAGCUUAACUGGGGAACUGCCAUUGAUACUGUUAGUCUUGAGUACAGUUGAGGUGGGCGGAAUGUGUCAUGUAGCGGUGAAAUGCUUAGAUAUGACACAGAACACCGAUUGCGAAGGCAGCUCACUAAGCUGUAACUGACACUGAGGCACGAAAGCGUGGGGAGCAAACAGG
This 253-nucleotide ribosomal RNA is filed under the name uncultured bacterium. RNAcentral describes it as "partial 16S ribosomal RNA". It matches the Rfam family "Bacterial small subunit ribosomal RNA", at positions 524 to 776 of the family's 1533-position model. The record is from RNAcentral.